AGUUUUCUUAUGACAAAGUGAUGUGUUCCGUUCCAAGAAUUUCCUUCCACAUUUUGGAAAAAUGCUGGAGAAUAUUUUCAUGCCAGUGUUCGAGGCCACCAUCAACCCCCAGGCUGACCCAGAACUCAGUGUCUUCCUCAAGCAUAUCACUGGCUUUGACAGUGUGGAUGAUGAGUCCAAACACAGUGGCCACAUGUUCUCCUCCAAGAGUCCCAAGCCCCAGGAGUGGACAUUGGAAAAGAAUCCAUCUUACACUUACUAUGCCUACUACAUGUAUGCAAACAUCAUGGUGCUCAACAGCCUGAGAAAGGAACGAGGCAUGAAUACAUUUCUGUUCCGACCUCACUGUGGAGAAGCUGGAGCCCUCACCCAUCUCAUGACAGCAUUCAUGAUAGCAGAUAAUAUCUCUCAUGGCCUAAAUUUAAAAAAGAGUCCUGUGCUACAGUACUUGUUUUUCUUAGCCCAAAUUCCCAUCGCCAUGUCACCACUAAGUAACAAUAGCCUAUUUCUAGAGUAUGCCAAAAAUCCUUUUUUGGAUUUCCUUCAGAAAGGGCUAAUGAUCUCACUCUCUACAGAUGACCCAAUGCAAUUCCACUUUACCAAGGAGCCCCUAAUGGAAGAAUAUGCUAUUGCUGCACAAGUCUUCAAGCUGAGCACCUGUGAUAUGUGCGAAGUGGCAAGGAACAGUGUCUUGCAGUGUGGAAUUUCUCAUGAGGAGAAAGUAAAGUUUCUGGGCGACAAUUACCUUGAGGAAGGCCCUGCUGGAAAUGAUAUCCGGAGGACAAAUGUAGCCCAAAUCCG
RNAcentral lists this small RNA (801 nucleotides) under Pongo abelii (Sumatran orangutan). RNAcentral's name for it is "processed transcript". Lineage: Eukaryota; Metazoa; Chordata; Mammalia; Primates; Hominidae. The record is from RNAcentral.